CUCUAGAACCUUCCCCCUCCCCUUCUCCCCGAUGUGUCCUCUUCAUCUUCUUCGGCCACCUUCAGACCUAAAUCUAUGGUGGUUUCUCCUCCCACCAAGCCACCUAUGGCUCCCUCACGUUUGGUUAACUGAAGCUUCAUGACUCGACCACGAAGAGUUAGGUCUAGACCUCUGUUGAUUCAAGAUUUAAGGUCAUUUCCGGCCUGCUCUGGCAAGCCAUGCCUACUUCGAGCCUUGUUUUGAACCCUCCUGCUUAGAUCCAAGCCUUUCUCACCGUUUGGGUUUCUCUAAAAAACCUAGCCUUGAGGUUCUUCUGAUCUCUUUAUAUUUGUUCUAGAUCUAUGCUUUCCCUAAGUUUCUAUGCGAUUUUCUGCAUUUUUCUUUCAAAAAACUACUUUCAAAACCAUUUCUUUUUCAUAUCUAGGGUUCUUCUGAGAUAUUUUGAUGUUUCUCUGAUUUUCUCUUUCUUUUGUUUGUUU
Molecule: long non-coding RNA, 479 nt
Filed under: Nicotiana benthamiana
Lineage: Eukaryota; Viridiplantae; Streptophyta; Magnoliopsida; Solanales; Solanaceae
Description: long non-coding RNA (NBEN_LNC004052)
Source: RNAcentral